Molecule: unclassified non-coding RNA, 251 nt
Filed under: Hevea brasiliensis (rubber tree)
Lineage: Eukaryota; Viridiplantae; Streptophyta; Magnoliopsida; Malpighiales; Euphorbiaceae
Source: RNAcentral
GAUCAAUACAAAAAGAAACCAACUUCGUAAUAAAUUCCAAUCAAUACAUAUAACAGAAAAAGACCCACUAGGGAAAAUUUUUCACAAAAUAUUGGUAAAAUCAAAUCAAUAUGAAACCAAAAUUUUGAUUAUAUUCUAUUCAAUUUCGAUUACUGUAAAAAAUUAGGACCAAAUUGAAAUUGCCCACACUACCACCAACCUGCCCAAUAAUAAAACUCAAAAUUCAUGUGCCUACAAUUCCUCUGUAUGAA